RNAcentral lists this non-coding RNA (26 nucleotides) under Homo sapiens (human). The record is from RNAcentral. Lineage: Eukaryota; Metazoa; Chordata; Mammalia; Primates; Hominidae.
UCAUCGAUGAUUCAGGCAGAGCCAGA